This 522-nucleotide ribosomal RNA is filed under the name Opisthoteuthis massyae. RNAcentral's name for it is "partial 16S ribosomal RNA". It matches the Rfam family "Bacterial large subunit ribosomal RNA", at positions 1817 to 2599 of the family's 2925-position model. The record is from RNAcentral. Lineage: Eukaryota; Metazoa; Mollusca; Cephalopoda; Octopoda; Opisthoteuthidae.
GUCUCUUUGUUUUUUAUAUAUAAGGAGUCGGGCCUGCUCGGUGAUAUUAUAUUUAACAGCUGCAGCGUAAUAGUUGUACUAAGGUAGCAUAAUAAUUUGCCUUAUAAAUUAAGGCUAGAAUGAAUGGUUUGACGAAAGUUGAUCUGUCUCUUAUUUAUUUAUUAGAAAUUAAUUUUUAUAGUGAAAAAGCUUUAAUUGAUUAAAGGGACGAGAAGACCCUAUUGAGCUUUUAUCAAAUGUGUAUAAAAUUAUUUUAAAAUUAUAUAAGAAAAUGAUUUUGAUUGGGGUGAUCGAGGAAUAAGAUAAAGUAGUUAAUAACUUCCUUAAAAAUAAUUAAAAUAAAAUUGAUAAAUUAAUUAACCAAUAUUUUGCUUACGUGAAUAAGUUACCAUAGGGAUAACAGCGUAAUUUUUUUAGAGAGUUCYUAUUGAUAAAAAAGAUUGCGACCUCGAUGUUGGAUUAAAAUAACCUUAAGGUGAAGAAGCUUUAAUAGGUGAAUCUGUUCGAUUUUUAAAAUUUUAC